CCAAGGUGCUCUUCAGCCUGUUAAAUCACAC
This 31-nucleotide non-coding RNA is filed under the name Mus musculus (house mouse). The record is from RNAcentral. Lineage: Eukaryota; Metazoa; Chordata; Mammalia; Rodentia; Muridae.